Molecule: transfer RNA, 71 nt
Organism: Ovis aries (sheep)
Lineage: Eukaryota; Metazoa; Chordata; Mammalia; Artiodactyla; Bovidae
Rfam family: tRNA
About the family: Transfer RNA (tRNA) molecules are approximately 80 nucleotides in length. Their secondary structure includes four short double-helical elements and three loops (D, anti-codon, and T loops).
Source: Rfam
UCCCUGCUGGCUCAGAUGGUAAAGCGUCUACCUGCAAUUUGGGAGACCCAGAUUCGAUCCUGGGUUGGGAA